GCAGCCGCGGUAAUACGUAGGUGGCAAGCGUUGUCCGGAUUUACUGGGUGUAAAGGGCGUGUAGCCGGGUUCUUAAGUCAGAUGUGAAAUCCACGGGCUCAACUCGUGAACUGCAUUUGAAACUGAGGAUCUUGAGUAUCGGAGAGGUAAUCGGAAUUCCUUGUGUAGCGGUGAAAUGCGUAGAUAUAAGGAAGAACACCAGUGGCGAAGGCGGAUUACUGGACGACAACUGACGGUGAGGCGCGAAAGCGUGGGGAGCAAACAGGAUUAGAUACCCC
RNAcentral lists this ribosomal RNA (278 nucleotides) under uncultured Oscillospiraceae bacterium. Its description in RNAcentral is "partial 16S ribosomal RNA". It matches the Rfam family "Bacterial small subunit ribosomal RNA", at positions 511 to 788 of the family's 1533-position model. The record is from RNAcentral. Lineage: Bacteria; Bacillati; Bacillota; Clostridia; Eubacteriales; Oscillospiraceae.